AGUUGUCACGGUUGCUUAGAGAUGGACACUAAGCCCCUUUUGCGCUGCACCGCUGGAGCAAAGAUACAGACGUGAGAGAGAAGACGCACAUCCCAGGCUGAACAGUGUCAGAGAGGAUUAAUGCAAGCAAUUUUUAAAAAAUGUGUUUAUUGUUGAGCAGUGAGCUGCUGUAUGAUUUCAGACAGGAUCAGGAGAGGAACACUGCCGACCCAUUAGAACCUAAAGAACCAGACAUCAGCUUCUGUUCAUUCCUCAAUCAUUUCCUGAAGUUUAGAAUGCCUCAGGAGAUGCUAUGAUUGAUUCAGUUUCUUAUUGUGCUUUUAGCAAACUAUAGUGGAUUGAGUACUUGCUUAAGAUGUUAAUUUUAAAUUAAACUUGAUUGAAUAAUAGUAUGAGCCAAGAUAAUAUAAGUGGCCAUUUAAAGAACAAAUCAUACUAAUACAAUAACAGUAAAUAUUUCCCAAUUAAAAAUUGUUAGGGCUUUCUUUGUGUUUUAUUCAGAAAAGUUGAUAUAUUUUAGGAAUAAUUGUUCAGUGGUCAUUUAAUGUAUUAUUUUAUUAAUGUUAUUUACCAGUUGGGAUAACCUGACUUCCUAUCCAAGAAGAAAUAACAUGGCAACUAAAAAUGCACCAGACACAGACCUGCAGCCCAAUGGCAGCUCUAAGGGGUGGCUAAGAGGGGCACUGAAGAAAUUAUACUAAAUGUCUUUUUAUUCUUUAAAACUUAUGGUGCUGCAGUUUUAGCUGCUCUAGUGAGAUAGAAUGACACUUUCCAUCUGCUAGAUCAGGGAUCUGCAACCUGUAGUUCUGGACUACUCACUUAAUAUAUCUGUUUUUUGUUUCAUCCUUUUGUAAAUAACCCCAUGAAAAAACAUUGACUAUUGGCCCCCGUGGUAAAUUUGAUCUGGAACCAGCCUUCACAUACAUAUUUGCACAUAACUUUAUUUGUUGCUGUUUGAGAAAUUUCAAACAUUAAAUAAGGUGUUAUGAUCAGUUACUCAGUACUUGAGUAGACUUUUUAUCAAAUACUUUCUAUCACUCCACCAGCCAUCCCACCAUAUGAAAGAAAGGUGACACAGGCUGUAGCAUGCAUCCUUCUUUUAAUUUCUGAAAGGUGGCAACCCCACAGCACUGUUUUCCUGAGUAAAUUUCUUUUUAAGUGAUCCUUUUUCAACUGCUACUUUGUCUUUUAUAUAUUUUGUGACUACAGGGUAGUCAGGAUGCUAUGGUUGAAUCUGCAAGGCACUUACUUAAUUUACUAACUGAAAGACCACGAAGUGGAGGAAGAAGAGACCUCACCAACCAGAACGCCAGUUGUAGGGUACCUCAAACUGAACCAUCUGUCCAAAUGGAAAUGAGCAGAUCUUUUCCUGGACUUUACAACAGGGGAAGAGGAAGAAAACGACGAUUUCCUCCAACAAGCCGAAAAAGAUGAAACCUUUAGAUGUACUUUUUUAUUUACUGCCAAAACAUUACGAAAAAACGGCAAAAGAAGAUGAUCAACGGAUACACAUGAGAGCGGGAUUGGGCCGGAAAACAGCUCACAUUGAUGAGAGCAUAACGCAUAACGAGAACAUUGGUUGGGACCGCUGCUUCUCAGAGUUCAUGUUGCCUACUAAACUUAGGUGGUACUUCAGCAUAUCACUUGGCCAGAAACUGAUGACGGAAGUGAUGAAGAUGACGACUGCUCAAAGGAAACCAAUUGCUGCAUUUCAGGAUAUCUGAAACAGUUCAUUGCAAAUGCCACACCACCUGAACUGAAAGACAUGAUGAAAUUCUGGACCGGAUGGGAAAAUCUGCCGGCAAGUCUGUCUGUGGAGAUCGUUCACGGAAACUACCCAACAGCUGCCACAUGCUACGAAAUGUUAAGAAUUCCUUCUCACUACAGAAAUUACAAAUCUUUCAAUGAUGACUUUUUAGCAUGCAUUUCCUGUACGCAGCUUUGGCUUGCUUUGAAUGAUCAACCUGUUCAAAAAUAAAAAAUCUACAUUUAA
Girardinichthys multiradiatus is the source of this 1993-nucleotide long non-coding RNA. RefSeq lists it as uncharacterized. Lineage: Eukaryota; Metazoa; Chordata; Actinopteri; Cyprinodontiformes; Goodeidae. The record is from RefSeq and is a predicted model, not a curated record. The transcript has 5 exons.